This 699-nucleotide long non-coding RNA is filed under the name Bos taurus (domestic cattle). Its description in RNAcentral is "long non-coding RNA NONBTAT015941". Lineage: Eukaryota; Metazoa; Chordata; Mammalia; Artiodactyla; Bovidae. The record is from RNAcentral.
CCAGAUUCAACUUGACUUUCCAAGUCACAUAGUACUUUUUAACCUUAAAAAAUCCAGCCUUAAUGGGAAAGAUAAAAAUUAAAUAGAAGCUGAGAGAAAUCAUAUUGAUCUUUACCUUGUGCUAUCUCCUGUGGCUAGUGCUCUUUCUUUUAUGCCCUCUCCAGUGUGUGCUGCGGCAUUUAGAUUGUGUCAAGUUUAAUGAAUUUAAUACAAAAAAAUUUUACUGAACCAGAAAAUAGAUGCACUUAAAAUAGUUCAAUAUUUGCCAACUUAGCGGUUCAGCAUAUCACCCACACGCAUCGGUGACAACCCAUGACUUGCUGGCUCGAGAGAAAUUGAUCCCCAGCCUUCUGAACAAGCUACUUGUUGCUAAUUUAGAAAGCAAACUGGCGAGUUCCAUUUUGUCAUUUUGAAAGGAAAGAAAUCGUCACAGCCUCUCAGAUCAUUGCAGUCUCUCAAACUAAUAAAAGUUCCACAAAAGACCCCUUAGCUUGGUAGUAUUUAAAAUCUCACACUGACGUGCCCACUCUCGGGCAUUCACAUAUGCUUGCAUGGGCAGAACUUGUUUAUGUAACUACAAAGUGGAUUUUUUCUAUGGAAUGUUCUUAUACAUCUCCUACUUGCAAUCAAAUGAUGGAAAACUGAAAUGCCUACGUGUGGUUAAUGUCACUAAUUUUUGAUAAUAUAGAAAGGAAAAGG